UUCAUUGGAGAGUUUGAUCCUGGCUCAGGAUGAACGCUGGCGGCGUGCCUAAUACAUGCAAGUCGAGCGAAUGGAUUAAG
RNAcentral lists this ribosomal RNA (80 nucleotides) under Bacillus cereus. Its description in RNAcentral is "partial 16S ribosomal RNA". It matches the Rfam family "Bacterial small subunit ribosomal RNA", at positions 1 to 79 of the family's 1533-position model. Lineage: Bacteria; Bacillati; Bacillota; Bacilli; Caryophanales; Bacillaceae. The record is from RNAcentral.